UGCAGUCGAACGCACCCUUCGGGGUGAGUGGCAGACGGGUGAGUAACACGUGGGAACGUACCCUUCGGUUCGGAAUAACUCAGGGAAACUUGAGCUAAUACCGGAUACGCCCUAACGGGGAAAGAUUUAUCGCCGAAGGAUCGGCCCGCGUCUGAUUAGCUAGUUGGUGGGGUAAUGGCCCACCAAGGCGACGAUCAGUAGCUGGUCUGAGAGGAUGAUCAGCCACACUGGGACUGAGACACGGCCCAGACUCCUACGGGAGGCAGCAGUGGGGAAUAUUGGACAAUGGGCGAAAGCCUGAUCCAGCCAUGCCGCGUGAGUGAUGAAGGCCUUAGGGUUGUAAAGCUCUUUUAUCCGGGAAGAUAAUGACUGUACCGGAAGAAUAAGCCCCGGCUAGCUUCGUGCCAGCAGCCGCGGUAAUACGAAGGGGGCUAGCGUUGCUCGGAAUUACUGGGCGUAAAGGGCGCGUANGCGGCCGUUCAAGUCAGAGGUGAAAUCCCAAGGCUCAACCUUGGAAUUGCCUUUGAUACUGUUCGGCUCGAGACC
Molecule: ribosomal RNA, 546 nt
Filed under: uncultured bacterium
Lineage: Bacteria
Description: bacterial SSU rRNA
Rfam family: Bacterial small subunit ribosomal RNA
Source: RNAcentral